AUUGAUCAAAAGAAAAAAGAGGGAGAAAGAGAUGAAGAAGAAGAGGGCCAGAGAAACCAAAUCCAAAUUGGAUCAAAGGAUUGAUUAAGUCAUCAUCGAAAUCAAUCAUUCAUUUUUGUAGAUUAGGGUUUUCACCCCAUUAACACCCAAGAUCCAUUCAGUUUGAUGAAACCAAUGACCAAAUCAACUAAGAUCCAAGGCCAACAGAAGUCAACAAAGGUCAAAC
This 226-nucleotide long non-coding RNA is filed under the name Lathyrus oleraceus (garden pea). RNAcentral's name for it is "Pisum sativum (pea) long non-coding RNA (PSAT_LNC011639)". Lineage: Eukaryota; Viridiplantae; Streptophyta; Magnoliopsida; Fabales; Fabaceae. The record is from RNAcentral.